This 245-nucleotide ribosomal RNA is filed under the name uncultured Eubacteriales bacterium. RNAcentral's name for it is "uncultured Clostridiales bacterium partial 16S ribosomal RNA". It matches the Rfam family "Bacterial small subunit ribosomal RNA", at positions 524 to 768 of the family's 1533-position model. The record is from RNAcentral. Lineage: Bacteria; Bacillati; Bacillota; Clostridia; Eubacteriales.
UACGUAGGGGGCAAGCGUUGUCCGGAUUUAUUGGGCGUAAAGAGCACGUAGGCGGCCAAUCAAGUCAGGUGUGAAAUCCUUGGGCUCAACCCAAGAACUGCACUUGAAACUGAUUGGCUGGAGUUCAGGAGAGGAGAGUGGAAUUCCUAGUGUAGCGGUGAAAUGCGCAGAUAUUAGGAGGAACACCAGUGGCGAAGGCGGCUCUCUGGUCUGUAACUGACGCUGAGGUGCGAAAGCUAGGGGAG